This 577-nucleotide ribosomal RNA is filed under the name Phialophora sp. ugm021228_07. RNAcentral describes it as "eukaryotic LSU rRNA". It matches the Rfam family "Eukaryotic large subunit ribosomal RNA", at positions 58 to 650 of the family's 3401-position model. Lineage: Eukaryota; Fungi; Ascomycota; Eurotiomycetes; Chaetothyriales; Herpotrichiellaceae. The record is from RNAcentral.
AAAGAACCCAACAGGGAUUGCCUCAGUAACGGCGAGUGAAGCGGCAACAGCUCAAAUUUGAAAUCUGGCCUCUUGGGGUCCGAGUUGUAAUUUGGAGAGGAUGUUUCGGGUACGGUCCGGGCUUAAAUUUCUUGGAACAGAAUGUCAUGGAGGGUGAGAAUCCCGUCUGGAGCUCGGACACGGCCUAUGUGAAACUCCUUCGACGAGUCGAGUUGUUUGGGAAUGCAGCUCUAAAUGGGUGGUAAAUUUCAUCUAAAGCUAAAUAUUGGCCAGAGACCGAUAGCGCACAAGUAGAGUGAUCGAAAGAUGAAAAGUACUUUGAAAAGAGAGUUAAACAGUACGUGAAAUUGUUGAAAGGGAAGCGCUGGCAACCAGACUUGCACGCCGGGGUUCCCCCUUGCUUCUGCUUGGGUUACUCCCCGGUGUUCAGGCCAACAUCGGUUUCGGGGGUUGGUUAAAGGCCCUGGGAAUGUACCUACCCUUCGGGGUAGACUUAUAGCCCAGGGUGUCAUGCGACCUCCCGGGACCGAGGAACGCGCUUCGGCUCGGAUGUUGGCGUAAUGGUUGUCAGCGACCC